RNAcentral lists this transfer RNA (74 nucleotides) under Verrucomicrobiia bacterium. RNAcentral's name for it is "tRNA-Leu". It matches the Rfam family "tRNA". From Rfam's summary of the family: Transfer RNA (tRNA) molecules are approximately 80 nucleotides in length. Lineage: Bacteria; Pseudomonadati; Verrucomicrobiota; Verrucomicrobiia. RNAcentral also lists the same sequence under 1 other name. The record is from RNAcentral.
GGCCGCGUGGCCCAAUCAGCAGAGGCAAUCGACUUAAAAUCGAUGAGCUGCGGGUGCGACUCCCGCCGCGGCCA